This 254-nucleotide ribosomal RNA is filed under the name uncultured bacterium. RNAcentral describes it as "partial 16S ribosomal RNA". It matches the Rfam family "Bacterial small subunit ribosomal RNA", at positions 524 to 776 of the family's 1533-position model. The record is from RNAcentral.
UACGUAGGGUCCGAGCGUUGUCCGGAAUUAUUGGGCGUAAAGGGCUCGUAGGCGGUUUGUCGCGUCGGGGAGUGAAAACCAGGUGCUUAACACCUGGCCUGCUUUCGAUACGGGCAGACUAGAGGCAUUCAGGGGAGAACGGAAUUCCUGGUGUAGCGGUGAAAUGCGCAGAUAUCAGGAGGAACACCGGUGGCGAAGGCGGUUCUCUGGGAAUGUCCUGACGCUGAGGCGCGAAAGCGUGGGUAGCAAACAGG